This 286-nucleotide long non-coding RNA is filed under the name Coturnix japonica (Japanese quail). RNAcentral describes it as "lncRNA (ENSCJPG00005004404.1)". Lineage: Eukaryota; Metazoa; Chordata; Aves; Galliformes; Phasianidae. The record is from RNAcentral.
GAUUGAAUAUCUUUCUAUAUUUUGCAAUUUUCAUUCUGAUUAUAGCUUUUAUUCUACAUAUGUGUUUAUUUUAUUAUUAUUAUUAUUAUUUUCUCUUUCUUAGGACGUUUGCUAGAUUUUCACUGGAUUUGUUCAGACAUCCCACUGCUGUUAAUAAGGUUGGAUAUAUCUCUUGGCUCAAAGAAAUGGUUUGUUCUCUGUUCCUGAGAUACUGGUGAAAGGCUGUAAUUAAGGUAAGAAUGUGAUAACAUGAAAUUUUGUGCAAUUUAUUAGUCUUGCAACCUUA